This 253-nucleotide ribosomal RNA is filed under the name uncultured bacterium. Its description in RNAcentral is "partial 16S ribosomal RNA". It matches the Rfam family "Bacterial small subunit ribosomal RNA", at positions 524 to 776 of the family's 1533-position model. The record is from RNAcentral.
UACGUAGGGUGCAAGCGUUGUCCGGAAUUAUUGGGCGUAAAGAGCUCGUAGGCGGUUUGUCGCGUCUGCUGUGAAAACUCGGGGCUUAACUCCGGGCCUGCAGUGGGUACGGGCAGACUAGAGUGCGGUAGGGGAGACUGGAAUUCCUGGUGUAGCGGUGAAAUGCGCAGAUAUCAGGAGGAACACCGGUGGCGAAGGCGGCAUCCUGGACCAACACUGACACUGAGGAGCGAAAGCCAGGGGAGCAAACGGG